Long non-coding RNA from Periophthalmus magnuspinnatus, 195 nucleotides. RefSeq lists it as uncharacterized. The record is from RefSeq and is a predicted model, not a curated record. The transcript has 3 exons. NCBI's taxonomy places the organism in Eukaryota, Metazoa, Chordata, Actinopteri, Gobiiformes, Gobiidae.
GUGUAUAGUUGUGUGUACAGUUGUGUGUAUAGUUGUGUGUAUAGUUGUGUGUACAGUGUUGUGUAUAGUUGUGUGUACAGUUGUGUGUAUAGUUGUGUGUAUAGUUGUGUGUACAGUGUUGUGUAUAGUUGUGUGUACAGUUGUGUGUAUAGUUGUGUGUACAGUUGUGUGUACAGUUGUGUGUACAGUUGUGUG